RNAcentral lists this ribosomal RNA (301 nucleotides) under uncultured bacterium. RNAcentral's name for it is "partial 16S ribosomal RNA". It matches the Rfam family "Bacterial small subunit ribosomal RNA", at positions 509 to 807 of the family's 1533-position model. The record is from RNAcentral.
CAGUCGCCACGAGAAUACGAAGGGGGCUAGCGUUGUUCGGAAUUACUGGGCGUAAAGCGUACGUAGGCGGAUUGUUAAGUGAGGGGUGAAAUCCCGAGGCUCAACCUCGGAACUGCCUUUCAUACUGGCAAUCUUGAGUCCGGGAGAGGUGAGUGGAACUCCUAGUGUAGAGGUGAAAUUCGUAGAUAUUAGGAAGAACACCAGUGGCGAAGGCGGCUCACUGGCCCGGAACUGACGCUGAGGUACGAAAGCGUGGGGAGCAAACAGGAUUAGAUACCCCCGUAGUCCCUGUCUCUUAUAC